GCCUACGGCCAUACCACCCUGAGAACACGUCUGACCUCAGAAGCUAAGGAGAGACAGGCCCAGUUAGUACCUCCUCGAAAUACCGGGUGCUGUAGGCU
This 98-nucleotide ribosomal RNA is filed under the name Fulmarus glacialis (Northern fulmar). The record is from RNAcentral. Lineage: Eukaryota; Metazoa; Chordata; Aves; Procellariiformes; Procellariidae.